UUAUUACGAAACAUCAACGGUUUAUUUCUUAGAUAUAAUUUUGAGUUGUACGUUGAUAAAAAAAAAAUAUAAUUAUCACUUUCAUUAAGAAGAUGACAAAAAAAACGAAAAAAAAAAACAUUAUUUAUUCAAUAAAAAUACAUGUUAAUUAGAAAAAUGUCAAAAACUGAAUAUUAAAUAUAGUACUAUUAAUAGGAUAAGAUACUUUAAGGGACCUUACUUCGAAACGAAACUACCCUCCUUACACGCCCCAAUGACAUCAUAUGCAAUAAUUGCAAUCACUAAAACCACUAUGCAAUCGACC
Molecule: long non-coding RNA, 304 nt
Filed under: Vigna radiata
Lineage: Eukaryota; Viridiplantae; Streptophyta; Magnoliopsida; Fabales; Fabaceae
Description: long non-coding RNA (VRAD_LNC010920)
Source: RNAcentral